UUUCCUACGGGACGCAGCAGUGGGGAAUAUUGCACAAUGGGGGAAACCCUGAUGCAGCGACGCCGCGUGAGUGAAGAAGUAUUUCGGUAUGUAAAGCUCUAUCAGCAGGGAAGAUAAUGACGGUACCUGACUAAGAAGCUCCGGCUAACUACGUGCCAGCAGCCGCGGUAAUACGUAGGGAGCGAGCGUUGUCCGGAUUUACUGGGUGUAAAGGGCGUGUAGGCGGAGCUGCAAGUCAGAAGUGAAAUCUCCGGGCUCAACCCGGAAACUGCUUUUGAAACUGUAGCCCUUGAGUAUCGGAGAGG
This 305-nucleotide ribosomal RNA is filed under the name uncultured bacterium. RNAcentral describes it as "bacterial SSU rRNA". It matches the Rfam family "Bacterial small subunit ribosomal RNA", at positions 335 to 657 of the family's 1533-position model. The record is from RNAcentral.